CUUACCAUGCAAGUCGAGCGGUAAGGCCUUUCGGGGUACACGAGCGGCGAACGGGUGAGUAACACGUGGGUGACCUGCCCUCCACUUCGGGAUAAGCCUGGGAAACUGGGUCUAAUACCGGAUAGGACCAAUUGGUGCAUGCUGGUUGGUGGAAAGUUUUUUCGGUGGGGGAUGGGCCCGCGGUCUAUCAGCUUGUUGGUGGGGUGAUGGCCUACCAAGGCGACGACGGAUAGCCGGCCUGAGAGGGUGAUCGGCCACACUGGGACUGAGACACGGCCCAGACUCCUACGGGAGGCAGCAGUGGGGAAUCUUGCGCAAUGGGCGGAAGCCUGACGCAGCAACGCCGCGUGGGGGAUGACGGCCUUCGGGUUGUAAACCUCUUUCGCGAUCGACGAAGGUCCCGUUUGUUGCGGGGUUGACGGUAGGUCGAGAAGAAGCACCGGCCAACUACGUGCCAGCAGCCGCGGUAAUACGUAGGGUGCGAGCGUUGUCCGGAAUUAUUGGGCGUAAAGAGCUCGUAGGCGGUGUGUCGCGUCGGCCGUGAAAACCUGGGGCUCAACUCUGGGCGUGCGGUCGAUACGGGCAUCACUUGAGUUCGGCAGGGGAGACUGGAAUUCCUGGUGUAGCGGUGAAAUGCGCAGAUAUCAGGAGGAACACCGGUGGCGAAGGCGGGUCUCUGGGCCGAUACUGACGCUGAGGAGCGAAAGCAUGGGUAGCGAACAGGAUUAGAUACCCUGGUAGUCCAUGCCGUAACGUUGGGCGCUAGGUGUGGGGUCCAUUCCACGGGUUCCGUGCCGCAGCUAACGC
Molecule: ribosomal RNA, 807 nt
Filed under: Actinomycetospora sp.
Lineage: Bacteria; Bacillati; Actinomycetota; Actinomycetes; Pseudonocardiales; Pseudonocardiaceae
Description: bacterial SSU rRNA
Rfam family: Bacterial small subunit ribosomal RNA
Source: RNAcentral